RNAcentral lists this ribosomal RNA (446 nucleotides) under uncultured bacterium. RNAcentral describes it as "partial 16S ribosomal RNA". It matches the Rfam family "Bacterial small subunit ribosomal RNA", at positions 338 to 795 of the family's 1533-position model. The record is from RNAcentral.
CCUACGGGAGGCAGCAGUCGAGAAUCAUUCACAAUGGGGGAAACCCUGAUGGUGCGACGCCGCGUGGGGGAAUGAAGGUCUUCGGAUUGUAAACCCCUGUCAUGUGGGAGCAAAUUAAAAAGAUAGUACCACAAGAGGAAGAGACGGCUAACUCUGUGCCAGCAGCCGCGGUAAUACAGAGGUCUCAAGCGUUGUUCGGAAUCACUGGGCGUAAAGCGUGCGUAGGCUGUUUCGUAAGUCGUGUGUGAAAGGCGCGGGCGGAACCCGCGGACGGCACAUGAUACUGCGAGACUAGAGUAAUGGAGGGGGAACCGGAAUUCUCGGUGUAGCAGUGAAAUGCGUAGAUAUCGAGAGGAACACUCGUGGCGAAGGCGGGUUCCUGGACAUUAACUGACGCGGAGGCACGAAGGCCAGGGGAGCGAAAGGGAUUAGAUACCCCUGUAGUC